GACGAACGCUGGCGGCGUGCUUAACACAUGCAAGUCGAACGAUGAAGCUGGAGCUUGCUCCGGUGGAUUAGUGGCGAACGGGUGAGUAACACGUGAGCAAUCUGCCUUCAACACUGGGAUAACUCCGGGAAACCGGGGCUAAUACCGGAUAUGAAACCUGCGGGCAUCCGCGGGUUUGGAAAGUUUUCGGUUGAAGAUGAUCUCGCGGCCUAUCAGCUUGUUGGUGAGGUAAUGGCUCACCAAGGCGACGACGGGUAGCCGGCCUGAGAGGGCGACCGGCCACACUGGGACUGAGACACGGCCCAGACUCCUACGGGAGGCAGCAGUGGGGAAUAUUGGGCAAUGGAGGAAACUCUGACCCAGCGACGCCGCGUGCGGGAUGAAGGCCUUCGGGUUGUAAACCGCUUUCAGCAGGGAAGAAGCGAAAGUGACGGUACCUGCAGAAGAAGCACCGGCUAACUAUGUG
Molecule: ribosomal RNA, 466 nt
Filed under: uncultured bacterium
Lineage: Bacteria
Description: bacterial SSU rRNA
Rfam family: Bacterial small subunit ribosomal RNA
Source: RNAcentral